Molecule: long non-coding RNA, 2142 nt
Organism: Eucalyptus grandis
Lineage: Eukaryota; Viridiplantae; Streptophyta; Magnoliopsida; Myrtales; Myrtaceae
Exons: 7
Source: RefSeq, a predicted model, not a curated record
CUCUUUCGCCCUUUGGAACAGCGUCGCCUCACCGUUGUCUGUUCCUGACGGUGUGGUCCCUUCGCACACCGCGGCGUCCAUCACCUGCCGCGAGGGCUCUGAUUCCCCAACCGCCUGCCACCGUACGAUCCCCCGAGAAGAUGACGGCAGCGACUCCGACUCCGACGCCCAGAAGAGCCUCAACCAGAGGAAGCGCGAGGCUCGGCCGCGAUGUCCCCUGGGGCAUGGGGUUCGCUUCCUUUCCCAUCCCCAAAUCAAGGGCAUCCUCAGAUACUACUGGGAAAAAAGAUGUGUCUUGGAGGCAGCGCGAUUUUGAGCUUUCACGGCCUUUGUGGAUAUAAUGAUGUUCAAUAACGUUGCACUGUAGAUUCAUUAUCCUUUCUUUUAAAAGGGGAAUUGCAGAGUGGCUUCUCUGGAGUCAAGCGGCGUUGGACGCUCAGAUGCUCACGAAGAGACCAGGACCGGAUGUCCGAGAACGAAAGCGAAGGCAUUUCAAUUUCAUUGGGAAGUUGCUGUGAGAAGUUGAACCGGAUUUAAUGGAUGCUUCAAUUGAGGCUACAAAAGAUAGUGACCACAGUAGGCUGCGAGCUUUAUCUGUAUCCAAGGUGUGGUUUGGCGAAGAUGACGAUGAAGGUGAAGAAGAUUUCGAGCAAGAAAAGAGGAGGAGAAAAGCAGAUAUGCUACGCGGGGAACGUACAUGGAGGGAGAAAGGAGUGUCGUGAGCGCUCAAGCAUAGCAAGCAGGUGGUUUGAUGGUUUAAUCAGUAAAGACAUUCAAUUGGCCAAUGAAGUUUUCUCCAUUGACACCAUUUAAUUUGACCGGCAAGGUCCAGUUGAAUCGUUCUACGGUUCAGUAUUAUGUAUGAACCGAGUACCAGGUGGAUGAUGGGGUGCUAGUUUUAAUUCGGUGCUGGGUUCAGUCCUGCGCAAUGGCUCAAAAGAGAAUAGUUAUGCUGCUAAACGUUAUUUACUUACCUUUACCUUUCCAUUGCCUGCUAAUUUCAUCAAUUCCGGAGAGUUAUAAGAGGAGCAAAAUAAUGCAAAUUGUUUGAUAGAAAAAAGAAAGAAAGGCAGGUUAAGCUCUGUUCUUAUAAAUAUUUAUUUUGACGCUCGGUUUGUGCUUUUGCAUUCGAAUCUACCUGGAUAAUAUUCAUGCUGGUGCCAUCCAUUACAGAUGUAGUUGAAUCCUAUACAAGUACAUAUGCACUGAACCCUUUUUCGCCUGGGAAGGUCGCGAGCGAAUGCAGCCUACCACAUUAAUACCAAUCGGCACACGAGCAUGCCUCAACGAUGCUCAACUUCCUCCACCAUCGUCCUCAUCAACUCAAGACCGCGAAGGACAUAAGAGUUGGUUCAAACAGAAAGUAAUGUGGAUAGAUUAUGCUUUUAGAAUUGUCAUUGGGAUCUUCGUAGCAUCCAUUACAUUUGAAAUAGGAAGACCCAAAUGGCUCUCACAAGGUGUGAGAAUGCUGGAGAGAACUGCGGCCCAGUGGAUGGAGAAGCCAAAGUGGAAGGCCAUCAAAUUUCAUAAACAGUGAAAUUGUUGAGAAGUUGUCUCUUUAAACCAUGUAAUGUAUGUUCAGUGAAUAAAGAUGUCACCUAAAUGGCUUCAAAUGACAUUUCCCUUAUGAAGGCUUGUUUUAAUGUCUUCUCCUUUUGUAUCUUGGUGUAAUUGUAUAUGAGUCGAUUUGAAAAGAUGAACAAUGAAAUUUGUCAAGCACUCAAGCUUAAAAGAAGAGAGCCAAAAAACAGGAAAAUGAAGCGAGAGCCAUUAUCCAGAUAUCUCUUUCGCUCUUUGGAACAACGUCCAUCACCGGCCGCAUCAACGGCCGCGCGGGCUCAGAUUCCCCGACUGCCCGCCGCCGUACGAUCCCCCGAGAAGAUGACGGCAGCGACUCCGACUCUGACGCCCAGAAGAGCCUCAACCAGAAGAAGCGCGAGGCUCGGCCGCGACGUCCCCUGGGGCAUGGAACUCGCUUCCUUUUCCCAUCUCCAGAUCCAAGCGCUUCCUCAGAUUCUACUGGGGAAAAAAGAUGUGUCCUGGAGGCGGCGCCAUUUUGAGCUUUCACGGGCUUCGUGGAUAUAAUGAUGUCCAAUAAUGUAGCACCGUAGAUUCAUUAUCGCUUUCUUUUUCAAAGGGGAA